RNAcentral lists this signal recognition particle RNA (98 nucleotides) under Pseudomonadota bacterium. RNAcentral describes it as "signal recognition particle sRNA small type". It matches the Rfam family "Bacterial small signal recognition particle RNA". Rfam says of the family: The signal recognition particle (SRP) is a universally conserved ribonucleoprotein involved in the co-translational targeting of proteins to membranes. Archaeal SRP consists of a 7S RNA and homologues of the eukaryotic SRP19 and SRP54 proteins. The record is from RNAcentral. Lineage: Bacteria; Pseudomonadati; Pseudomonadota.
CAUUGGCUCCUUCGCGACGAACUGCCGUGAACCCCGCCAGGCCCGGAAGGGAGCAACGGUAGCGGACAGGGCGUGCGCCGAAUGUCCGGCUGGUGCGG